RNAcentral lists this ribosomal RNA (1176 nucleotides) under Trichoplax adhaerens. Its description in RNAcentral is "small subunit ribosomal RNA". It matches the Rfam family "Bacterial small subunit ribosomal RNA", at positions 298 to 1229 of the family's 1533-position model. The record is from RNAcentral. Lineage: Eukaryota; Metazoa; Placozoa; Uniplacotomia; Trichoplacea; Trichoplacidae.
AGCUGAGAGGUCACAGUUAUACUGAAACAAGGAUAACCGCGCUAAUGCGCGCCAGCAGUAGAGAAUUUUGGGCAAUCAACGAAAGUUGGACCCAGAGAUGUCGCCUUUUAGGGUUUUAUGACUUCGAUGGGCGCCUUAGACCUUUGAUUUACCAACGACCGACCAAAAGCCAAUUGGGGGGUCGUUGGUCGAUCGGUCGUUGGCACCCCGUUCGACGUCUUUUUAGGGGCCAGGAUCCAUUGGAUCCCACCGGGCCCGGCCCACGGCGCCUUUUGGCGCCCAGUCCGUCAAAAAGACGUGCCAGCAGACGCGGUUAUACGUCUGGACUGAGUUUUAACCAAAAAACAGGCGUAAAGUGUGAAGAGGGUGGGUGUUUGGCAAAGGGGGGUUUUCGGCCACCGCUGGCUCCCCUUACUUUUGGACCCGGUUUAAUCCGGGUCUUGCCCGCUAUACAGAGAAAAACAAGGUAAUUGGUACUUUUAGGUAUUGGUGAAAUAAUUCAAUCUAAAAUGGAACACCGGAGACGAAGGUUAAUUACCAAAAAGUUCUGUCACUUUUUUUCACGAAAACAUAGGGAACAAACAGGAUUAGAUACCCUGGUAGUCUAUUGUUGUAAAAGCUGAUCUAUCGCGGCAUAAUUUCCAUGUCGCCUUGAUAACUCGAAAAGAUUCCGCCUGAAUAGUACGACCGCAAGGUUGAAAUUCAAAAAAUUUGGCGGUUCACUAAUCCAAUUAGAGGAGCGUGUAGUUUAAUGCGAUGAUCCGCGAAUAACCUUACCAGAACUUGAAUAAAAGGAAUCGACCGUCGACCGACCAAUCGGUACCGUACUAGUCGAACCGAGAUUUCGGACCCUUCGUUGGUUGGGGCCCCUUUUACAGGUAUCGCACGGCCGUCGUCAGUUUGUGUUGUGAAACUUUUUAACGAACUUAACCCCUUUUUUGAUAAAAAUGGGGCCUCAAAAAGAGAGAUUUCCUCUGGGCGCCAAAGGCGCCGAGGCUUAUUUGUAGCAAAAUAGGCGGAUCCAACGGAUCCGCCCACCAAUGACUGCCCGACCGAUUGGGGGGAGGGUCCCCCCAAUCGGUCGGUCAUUGGCUCCCCUUUUCCCCCUUUUUAUCUUUUUUUUUGGGAUGACGUCAGGUCUUCAUGGUCCAAAUGUUCUGGGCCCGGCGCCUUUUG